AUGGUGUAAUGAGGCACCUUUCUAUACUCUUGGUCCAUUAACAACUGAUAUCGCUCCGGGAUAUGAUCAUAUUACCUCUGCCAUUGGUGCUGCUAAUAUUGGAGCACUUGGUACUGCACUUCUUUGUUAUGUAACUCCGAAGGAACACCUUGGAUUGCCAAAUCGUGAUGAUGUAAAGGCAGGUGUCAUAUCAUACAAGAUAGCUGCCCAUGCAGCUGAUUUGGCAAAGGGUCACCAGCAUGCACAAGCAUGGGAUGAUGCAUUGAGCAAGGCAAGGUUUGAAUUUAGAUGGAUGGACCAGUUUGCGUUGUCUUUAGAUCCUAUGACAGCUAUGGCUUUUCAUGAUGAGACCCUCCCAUCUGAGGGUGCCAAGGUGGCACAUUU
This 384-nucleotide long non-coding RNA is filed under the name Musa acuminata (dwarf banana). RNAcentral describes it as "long non-coding RNA (MACU_LNC003630)". The record is from RNAcentral. Lineage: Eukaryota; Viridiplantae; Streptophyta; Magnoliopsida; Zingiberales; Musaceae.